CCUCUGGUUUUUUUUAAAACCACACCACUCACCAUUUCUUUUAGCAU
This is a non-coding RNA of Monodelphis domestica (gray short-tailed opossum), 47 nucleotides long. The record is from Rfam. Lineage: Eukaryota; Metazoa; Chordata; Mammalia; Didelphimorphia; Didelphidae.